GAUAUAGUGUGUCCAACUAAUUAAAUUAUUUUUUAAAAAAUUCAUUUAUUCUAGCAUAUUUUUUAGGGUGCGUUUGGUUCGCGCUAUCUUUUAAAAAUUUCUAGUAAUCCAAUAGGAAUAAAAAAAUAUGACGGUGUUUGGCUAAACGCACUAAGUAAUCUAGUUGGUAAUAUUGGAUUCACUUGGGAAUAAGAUUCACCCCAAAGUACUAAUCUCAUUCUCUUGAGGGAGGAUGGGUAUCCUCAUAUUAAUGGAUUGGGAUAAUUAUAAUAUAUCUAAUCUCUUUCUUUCUUCCUACCCGCCAGCUAAUUGAUAUUAUUUUUCUUUACACUCUAACCUUAUAUCUCUCUCUAAAUUUAUUUUUCUCUCUAAAAUUCAACAUUUUUUUUCUCUCUCUAAACUAAGCUCUCUCUCUCUCUCUCUUUCUAAAAUUUCAACUCUCUCACUCCCUCUAAUUUUGACUAUAUUUUUCUUUCUAUUUUUUUAAUUAUGCUCUAUCUCUAACUUAUACUCUCUCCCUUUUUUCUAAAAAGAUAUUGAAACUUUUGGUAACAUUAUCUAAAAUUAAAUAAAUAAAUAAAUAAAUAAAUUGUAUAUUUUUUGUAAUAUUAAAUAACAUGGCUAAUUAAUAUUACCGUGCGAACCAAAUACAGGAAUUCCACAUUCUUAGUAAUAGGAUGAAUAGAAAUAAGAUUCUCGGAUAUCUUUUAUUUCUAGUAAUCUUUCAUAAUGCGAACCAAACGGACCCUUAGAAAAAUAUUUUUAAUAUAUUUUUCUCCAACAUUAAUGAGAAUCACGAUUUGUUGAACAUAAAUAAUGUGGUAUAGCUGCUGUAUUGUAGACUUUCUUCGCGACAACACAAACAUCUUAUCUAAAUCUCUCCUUCUUCUCUGCCUCUGCUUUCAAAAAGAAAUUUCGGAAGAGAGUGCCAAAGAGAUAAAUUUGGAAAUAGAAAAUGAUAAAAAUGCUUUCGGUAAAAUAACAAAAUAGUCAUAACACUCAAAUUUGAAACCUAGCUAGUUAGUUUAUAUUUUCAAUUAAAAUUUUCUCUCUUUUUUUCGAGAAAGAAAGGCCAGUAGCAUGUUAUACUCUAUAUUUUUUUAAAAAAAAUAAAUUUAGCUAAAAAUAUACAGCAACUAGAGCUAAGUUUUUUUUUAAAAAAAAAAAACUUAAUUGACAAUUUGCAGCAACCGUUAUUAGACUUCAAACUUGAAAUUUUGGAUAGUAACUAUCAAGCUCUUUGCCGUUAGCUCUGUGAACGGCAGAUAGCUAAGUUUAUUUCUAAAAAAAUAAAAAUGAGGUGCAUAGAAUGUUACGGGAUUAAGAAGAAAUUGUAUAUGAAUAUCAUAUUUUAUUUUUCAGUGAAACUAAGUAAAUAUAUGUUCUAAUUGACUAAUUGCAAUAUGCAAAAUGUGAUGUUAUAU
RNAcentral lists this long non-coding RNA (1424 nucleotides) under Ananas comosus (pineapple). Its description in RNAcentral is "long non-coding RNA (ACOM_LNC006174)". The record is from RNAcentral. Lineage: Eukaryota; Viridiplantae; Streptophyta; Magnoliopsida; Poales; Bromeliaceae.